CCUACGGGAGGCUGCAGUAGGGAAUAUUGCACAAUGGGCGCAAGCCUGAUGCAGCCAUGCCGCGUGUGUGAAGAAGGCCUUCGGGUUGUAAAGCACUUUCAGCGGGGAGGAAGGCGGUGAGGUUAAUAACCUCAUCGAUUGACGUUACCCGCAGAAGAAGCACCGGCUAACUCCGUGCCAGCAGCCGCGGUAAUACGGAGGGUGCAAGCGUUAAUCGGAAUUACUGGGCGUAAAGCGCACGCAGGCGGUCUGUCAAGUCGGAUGUGAAAUCCCCGGGCUCAACCUGGGAACGGCAUUCGAAACUGGCAGGCUAGAGUCUUGUAGAGGGGGGUAGAAUUCCAGGUGUAGCGGGGAAAUGCGUAGAGAUCUGGAGGAAUACCGGUGGCGAAGGCGGCCCCCUGGACAAAGACUGACGCUCAGGUGCGAAAGCGUGGGGAGCAAACAGGAUUAGAUACCCAGUAGUC
Molecule: ribosomal RNA, 464 nt
Filed under: uncultured Klebsiella sp.
Lineage: Bacteria; Pseudomonadati; Pseudomonadota; Gammaproteobacteria; Enterobacterales; Enterobacteriaceae
Description: bacterial SSU rRNA
Rfam family: Bacterial small subunit ribosomal RNA
Source: RNAcentral